Molecule: long non-coding RNA, 739 nt
Filed under: Zostera marina
Lineage: Eukaryota; Viridiplantae; Streptophyta; Magnoliopsida; Alismatales; Zosteraceae
Description: long non-coding RNA (ZMAR_LNC003840)
Source: RNAcentral
GAAACAAAUGUUGACUGUGCACCUGUGGUCUAUUUUAGAAAGAAAGAAAUGGGGAAUUUGGGGUGCUACAGUCUUACAGAGUACAGUAUCAGAUAUUUUUUCUAUAAAAUUUAUUUUGAUUAGUUGAUAUUUGUUUUUUUCCCUUCCUUUCAUUACUCUGUCUCCAUAUAAAUAAUAUAAUAAACCCUUCUAAUAUUCCUGAUUGAUUCUAAAUCUGAUUUACAAAUAUCUAGUCAUUUACAAAUUUGAUUUUAUUGUCAUCAAAUAUCCUGAUUUUAUUGUAAAAUAUUCUGAUUAGAUACAGAUGAUGAAUUACAGGUGGAUGGUUGUGAUUUUCAGAAUAAAUUACCCAUUGGUCAUUAAGAUUGAUGAGAUUUAUUAUACACAACAAGAAUAUACACAGCAAGAAUCGAACAGGUACAUAAGGAGAGACUCUCUCAGUCAGUCAGGAUCAUCGCAAGGGAUUUACAUAAGAGAUUUGACUAUUAUUUAUGAACAUCGCUUAUAUAAAAAAUCGCAAAGGUUAAGUUUGGAAGAUACAACUAUUAGAAGAUGGGAGGAAGACUCGCUAUUGGUUACUGAUCUACAAGUCGAAGAUUAACAAGUCAUACCUAUUCCACACAUCCUAUCGUAUUUUAGUUGUUUAUUUAAUUGUCUUUCUUUUAUUGUAGUUUUGUAAUAUCUUUGUUUUUAUUUUCAAUCUAAAUCGGCUUAAAAGAAAAAAGAAAAAGAACCGAAC